CACGUAGGGUGCGAGCGUUGUCCGGAAUUAUUGGGCGUAAAGAGCUCGUAGGUGGCGUGUCGCGUCUGCCGUGAAAGCCCAUGGCUUAACUGUGGGUCUGCGGUGGAUACGGGCAGGCUAGAGGCUGGUAGGGGCAAGCGGAAUUCCUGGUGUAGCGGUGAAAUGCGCAGAUAUCAGGAGGAACACCGGUGGCGAAGGCGGUUCUCUGGGCCUUACCUGACGCUGAGGAGCGAAAGCAUGGGGAGCAAACAGG
This 253-nucleotide ribosomal RNA is filed under the name uncultured bacterium. Its description in RNAcentral is "partial 16S ribosomal RNA". It matches the Rfam family "Bacterial small subunit ribosomal RNA", at positions 524 to 776 of the family's 1533-position model. The record is from RNAcentral.